RNAcentral lists this ribosomal RNA (428 nucleotides) under uncultured bacterium. RNAcentral's name for it is "bacterial SSU rRNA". It matches the Rfam family "Bacterial small subunit ribosomal RNA", at positions 28 to 437 of the family's 1533-position model. The record is from RNAcentral.
GAUGAACGCUGGCGGCGUGCCUAACACAUGCAAGUCGAGCGAGAUUAAGUGGAGUGAGGACUUCGGUCUAAGUGAAGCUUAUGAAAGCGGCGGACGGGUGAGUAACGCGUGGGCAACCUGCCCCAUACAAAGGGAUAGCCACUGGAAACGGUGAUUAAUACCUUAUAAGUCGGUAGCAUCGCAUGAUGUAGUCGACAAAGAUUUAUCGGUAUGGGAUGGGCCCGCGUCUGAUUAGCUAGUUGGUGAGGUAACGGCUCACCAAGGCGACGAUCAGUAGCCGACCUGAGAGGGUGAUCGGCCACACUGGAACUGAGACACGGUCCAGACUCCUACGGGAGGCAGCAGUGGGGAAUAUUGCACAAUGGGCGCAAGCCUGAUGCAGCAACGCCGCGUGAGUGAUGAAGGCCUUCGGGUCGUAAAACUCUGUC